Long non-coding RNA from Ictalurus punctatus (channel catfish), 4115 nucleotides. RefSeq lists it as uncharacterized. The record is from RefSeq and is a predicted model, not a curated record. The transcript is spliced from 3 exons. Lineage: Eukaryota; Metazoa; Chordata; Actinopteri; Siluriformes; Ictaluridae.
AAGGCAUGUUUAGGGAAAGGCUUGCAGUUUAAAAGAAAGGAAAAUAAAGAAAACAGGCAUAGAUUUAUUUACUUGAAACUGAUCAACUUUAAAAAUGCAUCAAUGUGCAAGAUGUUCAAAUGCAACAUUUUUAAUAGAAAAACAAAAACAACUUUUUAUGUCUUCAGGUGUAUGGGUGUGUUGCUAUUAUUAAUCGAGCAGAAGUUGACCCCAGAGAUGUGCUGGUGGACCGGUGGCCAGAUUUCAGUGUGCUACUUGUUAAACCAAAACCGCAGCAGAAACCAGACUUUUAUAGAGAUGUAAGCGUUUUUACUAAGGACGAAUCAUGUCUCAGGAACAUACUAACCAGGACUGGAGGAUCCAUCCAACCUUCCAGCUGACAGGUUAUCUAUUCGAGUCUCAUCAGUCAAGGAGUCUCAUGUUGCUCUGAUCAACAGCACAUGGAAGUUUGGCAAGGGUGAAUUCACUGAGCCCAUGGUCAGGAGCAUGAUCUUGAAUUACCCUUCAUGUUGUGUACUUGACUCAGAGGGUCAGCCGGUGUCAUGGAUAUUGACCUAUUCUAGCUGUGCGAUGGGUAUGCUGUACACAAUGCCAGAGCACAGACGGAAAGGCUACUCCAAAGCCCUGAUCACCAUAUUGGCAAAGAAACUGCAUUCAGAGGGCUAUCCAGUGUACUGCUUCAUCGAGGAGGAGAACCAGUUGUCCUACAGGCUCUUUAAAGGUUUAGGCUUCACUGAGGAUCUGUCUUAUAUGAAUUCUUGGUUUUACGUCAAUCAGUAGUCUAUGACUCCAUAAGAGGUUUGGGACAAGGAACAUUCCUGUCAUGAUUGCACGAUUGAAGGGGGUGUUCAGCACACAUUCACUAUCUUAUCCACACGUACCCCAUGACUGGUUGGCCGUCCCGUCCUCCUUUAUCAUAUCAUUGUUCUUGCAUUAUGUAAAGCAAAUAAAACCAUGAGAAAACAACUCAGUGUUUAUUAUGUUGUUAGUUUUUAAUGUUCUCUGUAAACUAACAGACAAAUUGUUGAAAAAAUGUAUCAUUAUAUCUCAGUUUUAAAAGUUGACCUGUUUCUCCCAUUUACAGAAACCAGACUUUUUUUUCUCUUUUUUUAAUGAUGUGAGCGUUUUUACUAAGGACAAAUCAUGUCUCAGGAACAUACUAACCAGGACAGACGUUCUAGACUGGAAGCAGUUCAUUAGUCUAAGUAUUAAUUUCGAACUUCUUAUUACAGCAGUAUAAACACUGGCAACCCGCUAAUAUCUGUGUUAUAUCUACAUAUCUAUAAUAUGUCAAUCCAUUAGGCGUCAUAGGCAGCCACCUCUGGGGCGCAGCCCUGCCGAAUCCGAUUAAAAUACCGAGCCACAUUUAACGGCAACUAGGGGGCGCCAACAAACCAAUUUGACCAAACAAACCUUUCUGAGAUAAUAAGACAUGAGCAAUUAUUAGCUCAGAAAUGUUUGUUUGGUCAAAUUGGUUUGUUGGCGCCCCCUAGUGCCGAUGUAAAUAAGAGUCAUCUACACUCUUAGAAAAAAAAAGGCUAUAUUGUAUAAUUAUUAAGGGUUCUUAGCUUCCACAUUAGGUUCUGCUUGGCACCCUAUCUGAUAGGGAAACACUGUUGUAGGGUUCUACAUAGAACCUUUAAGGGUUUCAUCUAUGGAUGUAAAAUAAUGAUACGUCUUUGAAACAAAAAAGCAUGUUGAAUUGCAUUUUAAUGCAUUGUAUUUACAGUGCUUGCAUUCUUGGGAGCUGCGAUUCAACAUGGUAUAUUUAAGCUGUGAAUAUUUCAAUUGGAAACGUUUCACACUGUGAUUAUUAAAAAUUCAAAAAUCAAUAUUCACCUUCCAAAGUUCAUGUCACGUCACGACAAACUAGCGACUCCAUUUCCCAGAGCGCGACGCAAACUACAAACAUGGCCGACGACUACAACUCCCAAAAUUACACACAGACACGUCACCUUCUCCUGAGGACUAAUCACACACACCUGUUUCCAAUCACACGCGCACUCACACCACCCUUUAAAAGUGACUGCUCACUCACUGUGUCUUUAGUAAAAAUAAUAUGUUCAGUUGCUUUUGACCUUGAUCGCAGUGUCAGCUGCUCUAGCCGCUGUACCGGAUCGUCUGACUGCUACCUGUAUUUGUUGUUGUUUUUGCCAUACCCUCUGGAUUAUAAACUCUCCAUGAACACUCAUAACUGCGAUUGCAUCCACCUCAAGCAUCCAUUACAUGACCGUUCCUUUCCAAAAUAUUCAGUUUGUUUAAAAAUACCACCAAUAAUAUUCGACAGGCAGAUUUUGGUCCAUUUCAUUUUGCUUCCACAAAUCCAGUAGUUCAAAUUCGGUUGGAUAUUCCAGAUUGCAAAUCCAGGAAUUGUAGGAAAAGCAGAAGAGUACCGAUGCAAAAUCUCUACCUGCUGCUAGUCCGCCUUAUCGACAGGUGGUGUUGAAGACCAAAGCAACGCCUAGAGCUAAGCCUUCAAAAUUUGAUUUGCCGAAAUGGACCAAGCGGUAAAUUCAAGUUAUGAAUUUUAAAAAAAGAAAGCUGAUUAAAACACAAAAGCAGCAUUUACGUUUAUGUUCAAAGUCUUCGUUUGAUUCCUCAGGAAACCGUUGCUCUACCUGUUACUUUGGACUUUGCCGUUCUUUUUGAGGGUGUGGGGAUACUUUGACCUGCUUUCACCUUUUUUUCUGGUGACAAAAUUGUACACUGUAGAUACGCAGCUUUGCCAGAGGCCAUAAUCACACAAUCAUGUUGAUGUUGGACCGUAGCAGAACCUCUGUAGCAGUGGGGGAACAGGAAAUCCAGAGCACCUUGACAUAAGCAUGACCAAACCACCUUUGAUGCACACCACUGGAAAAGGUCUCAAGAAAUUGAAAAACUCUGUAUAUUUAUUUUGUUCUUGUUUUUUGUCUUCAGAUAGAUGGAUAUGUUUGUGUAAUUAAUAGAAUAGACGCUGACCCCAUAGAUGUUCUGGUGGACCAGUGGCUGAAUUUCAGUGUGCCACUCAUCUGACCAAAAUGGCAGCAGGUUGAAGAUGACUUCAAUAUGUAACUGAUUUUGGCUUAAUGUAUAAUAUGCUGCACUGAAAGAACGGACAAAGUGUAACUAACCUUUAGUUUUUCGUUGACCUGUUUCUCUCACAUACAGAAAUCAGACCUUUUUAAAGUCAUAAACAUUUUUACUAAGGAUGAAACAACUUUCAGGAACAUACUGGUCGGAACAGACAUUCCUGACUGGAAGCAGUAACUCUAUCUAAGUAUUAAUUUCUCAGACCUCUCUUUAUGCCAUUUUAAGAGCCUCCUAAUAAUCAGUGUCACACAAAACAAAGAAGUCAUUCUCCUACGUUCAAUUUGUCAAGAAUUUAGACAUUCUCCUUUAGAUUCCUCCAGUUGAAUAGGUUAAUUUAACUCUGAAACUUAUAAAACAUCUGUUCAGGUGUUGAUCUGUGCCACAAGUGGAUGCUAAAGUUUGUAGCAGCCAGCAGAAGCGUGCCAAUGAGAAAAGAUCAUGUGUGUUACAUGAUGAAACUGCAAAAUCCAUCUAAUCUUACAACUGAAAGGUCACUUUCAGUUGUUGUGUGCUGGACUCAGAGGGUCAGCCGGUGUCAUGGAUAUUGAGCUAUGCUUCCUGUGCGAUGGGAAUGCUGUACACAAUGCCGGAGCACAGACGGAAAGGCUACGCCAAAGCCCUGGUCACCACAAUGGCAAAGAAACUGCAUUCAGAGGGCUACCCAGUGUACUGCUUCAUUGAGGAGGAGAACCAGUUGUCCUACAGGCUCUUUACCAGUUUAGGUUUCACUAUGGAUCCGUCUUACAGGACUGCUUGGAUUAAGUUUAAUUAAUCAUGUUAGUUUAUUUAGAUUUUAUUCAGUUUUAUACAAAUGCUUCCCUCACCAUUCUAUAAGCUUUACCUGGUAUCACAACGUUGAAUUAUUUUGAAGGGACCAUGCUAAUCUGAGUAGUUGUUAAAGUGUUUGUAAAACAUAUAACAAAUAAAAUGACAUGAAAAACAAUAUGCUGAAGUCAAAUCUGUUCAUAAUUGCAUGUUUUCCUGGUGCACCUAGACCUGGCUGGAACGUCUGUAUGGUUUCUGCAAUGCAGCUUUGUUCUAUCCUC